RNAcentral lists this ribosomal RNA (1289 nucleotides) under Clostridioides difficile. RNAcentral describes it as "partial 23S ribosomal RNA". It matches the Rfam family "Bacterial large subunit ribosomal RNA", at positions 163 to 1465 of the family's 2925-position model. Lineage: Bacteria; Bacillati; Bacillota; Clostridia; Peptostreptococcales; Peptostreptococcaceae. The record is from RNAcentral.
UACAUAGCUUAAUGAGGGGAACUCAGGGAACUGAAACAUCUAAGUACCUGAAGGAAGAGAAAGAAAUUCGAUUCCGUAAGUAGCGGCGAGCGAACGCGGAUUAGCCCAAACCAAUAAAGUUUUCUUUAUUGGGGUUGCGGACAUAUCAUAACGAAGAGGUAUCGUAAUUGAAGAGGUUUGGAAAGACCCACCACAGAAGGUAAUAGUCCUGUAUGUUAAACGAGAAGACUUUAGAUAUGAUCCAGAGUACCACGGGACACGUGAAACCCUGUGGGAAGCAGGAGGGACCACCCUCCAAGGCUAAAUACUACCUAGUGACCGAUAGCGUAUAGUACCGUGAGGGAAAGGUGAAAAGAACCCCGGGAGGGGAGUGAAAUAGAACCUGAAACCCUGCACUUACAAGCUGUGGAAGCACAUUUCUUGUGUGACCGCGUACUUUUUGUAGAACGGGCCAACGAGUUACGUUAAGUAGCAAGGUUAAGCACUUAAGGUGCGGAGCCGUAGCGAAAGCGAGUUUUAACUGAGCGUUCAGUUACUUGACGUAGACCCGAAACCGGGCGACCUACCCAUGAGCAGGAUGAAGCGAAAGUAAAAUUUCGUGGAGGUCCGAACCCACGAGCGUUGAAAAGCUCGGGGAUGACUUGUGGGUAGCGGUGAAAUUCCAAUCGAGCCCGGAGAUAGCUGGUUCUCCCCGAAAUAGCUUUAGGGCUAGCCUCAAGGUGAGAGAUACGGAGGUAGAGCACUGAAUGUCCUAGGGGGUAUUGCACCUACCGAAGACUAUCAAACUCCGAAUGCCGUCAUCUUAUACUUGGGAGUCAGACUGUGGGUGAUAAGAUUCAUAGUCGAAAGGGCAACAGCCCAGAUCGUCAGCUAAGGUCCCUAAAUGUAAGUUAAGUGGUAAAGGAUGUGGGAUUGCACAGACAACCAGGAUGUUGGCUUAGAAGCAGCCACUCAUUCAAAGAGUGCGUAAUAGCUCACUGGUCGAGUGAUCCUGCGCCGAAGAUUUCCGGGGCUAAAACUUACUACCGAAGCUACGGCAUCAGUAAUGAUGGGUAGGGGAGCUUCCCAUACGGGUUGAAGCAUGACCGUAAGGACAUGUGGACAGUAUGGGAGUGAGAAUGUUGGCAUGAGUAGCGAGAUGUGGGUGAGAAUCCCACAGGCCGUAAACCCAAGGUUUCCAGGGGAAGGUUCGUCCGCCCUGGGUUAGUCGGGACCUAAGCUGAGGCCGAAAGGCGUAGGUGAUGGACAACAGGUUGAUAUUCCUGUACUACCGAUAACCGUUUGAGAGA